CCGACUUCAUAUCAUUAAAGUGCGGAGACGCUCCUCGUUCCCAGAGGACCCCUGGCCAUUGCAGCGAUGAUGUCCGUGAAUAAACCCAAGCCAUUCUAUGUUUGCAUACUGAAUGUGUUUUUUUCACCCUCAAUCCAGUGACGGAAGUUCUAAUAUGCUUUAAAAUUGAGUGAGAGCAACAUUCGUCGGCGCAUCGUCGUGAAAUGCGCGCGCCCGUACGAAAUCCUCAAAACCCGCAGAAAGACACACAAGGCUCUUAUUGUUACAGAAGCAGAGUGGAGUUCCACACGUGAAUGAUCUCCACUGGAGAGAUGUAACCACAGUCACACCUACACUAGAUAGCGGAAAUGCAUUGAAAAGUCCUGGAAUCUGGCACAGCAAAAUGGAGAAGCUCAGAUUUUCUUGAUACAACCCAUCCUUUGCAGGUCACAGCACAGACAGACACACCAUGGAUCUCUUUUGGGUUCUGUACUCCACGCUGACUGUAUGUAUGGCCAUCAAUAUGGAAGCUACUGGAAGCCAUAGCCUGUUUACCUGUGAGCCUAUCACAUUAAGGAUGUGCCAGGGUCUCUCCUACAAUACCACCUUUAUGCCCAACCUUCUAAAUCACUAUGAUCAGCAGACCGCUGCUCUCGCCAUGGAGCCCUUUCAUCCCAUGGUGAACUUGGAGUGUUCUACUGAAAUACGGCCGUUCCUGUGUGCCCUUUACGCACCCGUGUGCACCGAGUACGGCCGCGUGACCCUGCCAUGUCGGCGCCUGUGCCAGCAUGCCAAGAGCGAUUGCUACAAGCUGAUGGACAUGUUUGGGGUCACCUGGCCAGAUGAGAUGGAUUGUAGCAGGUUUCCAGACUGUGAUGAGUCUUACCCCAGAGCAAUAGACCUGCUCCCGAGCCGUGACGAGACGGAGGAAUCUCCCUCAUCAGUUCAGCGGGACUACGGCUUCUGGUGCCCACGAGAGCUGAAGAUUGAACCUGACUUGGGCUACUCGUUCAUGGGCGUGCGUGACUGCUCGCCUCCCUGCCCGAACAUGUACUUCCGCAAAGACGAGCUCAUCUUCGCCCGCUAUUUCAUUGGCGUUGUCUCCAUAGUCUGCCUGUCGGCGACGCUCUUCACUUUCCUGACCUUCCUCAUCGAUGUCGGGCGCUUCCGUUACCCUGAACGGCCCAUCAUUUUCUACGCGGUCUGCUACAUGAUGGUAUCCCUAGUCUUCUUCCUGGGCUUCCUGCUGGAGGAUCGCGUGUCAUGCAACGCAGCAAGCCCGGGUCGUUUCCGCGCCUCCACCAUCACCCAGGGCUCCCACAACAAGGCCUGCACACUGCUCUUCAUGACGCUCUACUUCUUCACCAUGGCUGGAAGCGUUUGGUGGGUCAUCCUCACCAUCACCUGGUUCCUGGCGGCCGUUCCCAAAUGGGGAAGUGAAGCUAUCGAGAAGAAGGCUUUGCUGUUCCACGCGGUGGCUUGGGGCAUCCCGGGAGCCCUUACCAUCACCCUCAUGGCUAUGAACAAAAUAGAAGGCGACAGCAUUAGCGGCGUUUGUUUUGUAGGGCUCUAUGACCUCAUGGCCUUGCGCUGGUUUCUCUUGGUGCCUCUGGCAUUAGAUGUGGUCGUAGGCGUGGUGCUGCUGUUAGCGGGGAUUGCAGCGCUGAAUAGGGUCCGGAUGGAGAUUCCCCUAGAGAAGGAGAACCAGGACAAACUGGUGAAGUUCAUGAUCCGGAUUGGGGUGUUCUCCGUCCUGUAUCUGGUGCCUCUGCUGACAGUCAUUGGGUGCUAUCUGUAUGAGCAGAGCCACAGAUCAGUUUGGGAGACCACCUGGGUACAGGAGCGCUGUAGAGAGUAUCACAUCCCUUGUCCGUUUAAGGUGGAACAGACAAGCAGGCCAGAUAUCGCCUUGUUCCUCAUCAAGUACCUGAUGAUGCUGGUGGUGGGAAUCCCAUCAGUGUUUUGGGUCGGUAGUAAAAAGACCUGCUUCGAGUGGGCCAGUUUCUUCAAUGGGCAUCGCAGAAAAGACACCGCAGUGCACGAAAGCAGGCAGGUGCUGCAGGAGCCCGACUUCACCCAGCUCCUCCUCAGGGACCCCAACACCCCAGUGGUGAGGAAGUCUAGAGGCACCUCAACGCAGGGCACCUCCACCCACGCCUCCUCCACUCACCUCGCCAUGUUGGACGAACCCCCCAGUGCCAGCACCAGCCGCGCAGGCAGCAUGCGCAGCAAAUCAAGCAGCUUCCACGGCAGCCUGCACCGCUCCAGAGAUGGCAGGUACACAGCUUGCAGUUAUCGUGGCGUCGAGGAACGCACCCUGCGCCUUGAUGAUCCGCUCCAGCAUUGCGGCGUCAACCGUCUCAACAGCCAUUCACGGCACGGCAGUCUGCAGCGCCUAGAGAGCAAAUCACGGCACAGCAGUGUGCGAGACCUCACCAUCACAGCACAGGCCAUCCAAAGCAGCCCGGGCAAUGGCAUUCACCGCGUUGUAGGGGAGGAUGCGACCAUGGCAUGAACUUUAACGUGGCAGCAAAUAAGAGCCCAAAUAAGUAAAAAGAACAUGGACUUUUGGCACAAACUCCUCAUGAUGGAUGGCACAAAUACAACAGAGUUCAAACAGAGAGCCAUGUGCAGCUAACCUUGCAGAUAGUUGAGCUACAUUAACGAAAUGGACUUCUUGAAUUCAGAGGUUGUAAAGUUGAGUUAUGGAUUAUACCAAACACUUGAAAUCUUUUGACGUACACUACCAUUCAAAGGUUUGGGGUCAUGUAUAUACAUGUACUGUUAUCUUUUCUCAAGUAAAGUUUGUGUGGAACCUCAUAAUCAAGGGUUCCUACUUUAACAGGGUCAAACGUAAGAGCUUUUGAUACGUUAUCAUUCUGUGACGUUUAGGCUCUUGCUGUUUUAUACUUACAUGAUAUAGCCUUUUGGAGUUGUUCCACUGCGGAUGUGGUUUUGAAUGUUUCUUUCCAUUGUUUAUUGCACUUUUGACCAUUUUGUAGAACAGAACUAGUGAUGAAUGCUGACAUAUCUGCACAUUUGGGUUAAAUUUAAAUGGACUGUGCACCCAAAAAUGAAAAUUUGGUCAAAUUUACUCACCAUUGUGACAUUUCAAACAUGUAUAAUUUUUUUUUUCCUGUGGAAGACAAAAUUAGAAGUUUAGCAGAAUGAACAAGCUUCUCUUUUUCCAUACAGUGAUAGUGAAUAGUGGCGAAAAGCUACUAAAAAUUAUUAUACAUAAAAUUGUUAACAACUUAUGUGAAUUUCUUUCCAAGUCUUCUGAUAUGUGUGUGUGGGGGGGGGGACAUGUAAGUCAUUAGUCAAUCAAUAAUCAUUUCCAGUGCCAGUGUCCUGAAGCAUAAAGAGCUGAAUUUAAAAAGCAUAGAAUUUAAAAAGCAUAAAACUUUAAAAAAAAAAGAUGUAGAUUAGAUAUUAUAGGCAUUUUACGAAUGGAAAUUGGCUCAUCCUUUCCAACCAAUCUCUUCUCUGUUGAGUUUUAGCACUAAUAGUAAUAGUCAAGUCAUUUUCGUGACAUUUACCGAAAACUGUGAAAAGCUUUUUUGUUAACAUGCUGAGAUCCUGAGUGCUUUAUGUACAAAAUAAAACAUCACUCUCAAAUCUUUC
RNA transcript from Carassius carassius (crucian carp), 3603 nucleotides. It is a transcript of the gene named frizzled class receptor 3a, with no coding region annotated. The transcript has 8 exons. Lineage: Eukaryota; Metazoa; Chordata; Actinopteri; Cypriniformes; Cyprinidae. The record is from RefSeq and is a predicted model, not a curated record.